RNAcentral lists this transfer RNA (73 nucleotides) under Methanosarcinaceae archaeon. RNAcentral describes it as "tRNA-Lys". It matches the Rfam family "tRNA". Rfam says of the family: Transfer RNA (tRNA) molecules are approximately 80 nucleotides in length. Their secondary structure includes four short double-helical elements and three loops (D, anti-codon, and T loops). Further hydrogen bonds mediate the characteristic L-shaped molecular structure. tRNAs have two regions of fundamental functional importance: the anti-codon, which is responsible for specific mRNA codon recognition, and the 3' end, to which the tRNAs corresponding amino acid is attached (by aminoacyl-tRNA synthetases). tRNAs cope with the degeneracy of the genetic code in two manners: having more than one tRNA (with a specific anti-codon) for a particular amino acid; and 'wobble' base-pairing, i.e. permitting non-standard base-pairing at the 3rd anti-codon position. The record is from RNAcentral. RNAcentral also lists the same sequence under 5 other names. Lineage: Archaea; Methanobacteriati; Methanobacteriota; Methanomicrobia; Methanosarcinales; Methanosarcinaceae.
GGGUCGUUAGCUCAAUUGGUAGAGCAGUUGCCUCUUAAGCAAUUGGUUAGAGGUUCAAGUCCUCUACGACCCA